Molecule: RNA transcript, 1111 nt
Organism: Musa acuminata AAA Group (dessert banana)
Lineage: Eukaryota; Viridiplantae; Streptophyta; Magnoliopsida; Zingiberales; Musaceae
Exons: 4
Source: RefSeq, a predicted model, not a curated record
CCUUUUGCCAUCAUCUCUUCACUCGAGACAACGGCGCACACUCCACGACGCGAACGCCCCUUCCCCGCUUGGCUCUUUUCCUCUCCACCGCCUUCGCAACGGGCAUGCCUCCUCUCUCUCUCCUCUUCGGAUCUCCCCUUUGCCAUCGGCGAGAUCUCGGAGGAGAGGGGCGGACGCGCCAUGUCGAAAGCCCGAGCGUACGCUGACGUCAACGUCGUCCGCCCCAAGGAGUACUGGGAUUACGUGUCGCUCACUGUCCAUUGGGGGGUUUCUAGCAGAUCUUCAUGCUCGUGCAGUUUGGAGAUGCUAAAGGAUGAUGUUGAUACUCUUGUUCCCGGUAGAUUCUUCUGUUGCGAACCACUUUUCGGCUCCUACAUGUUUGAUGUACGAUGUUUCGUAAUAUGUAAUGACUCCUUCCGAGCAUCCACUGCAAUGUUUGCUUCCCGCUCCUACAAUCAGCUGCAUGUUGGCAGCUUUUCUUUUGCUGCUUGGAGUCAGGAUGUUUAUGAGAUUGUGUGCGGAAGGUUGGAAGAGGGAAGUACAGUGAGGUCUUUGAAGGCAUAGAUGUAACCAAUAACGAGCAGUGCAUCAUCAAGAUCCUGAAGCCUGUUAAGAAAAGCAAGUAGACGGUGGACAGUAGGAAAUCUUUGAAAGGGAUGAAGCAUAUAUUGCUUCCUGGGACUUUGAGAUAGCACAAAAGAAAUUGAUGUGUUGAAAAAUCUGCAAGUCCUAUAACAAAUAAAAUAUUUGACUUGUUGGUGUUUGAUGGUACUCGUGUGGCUUCCUGCACCUCCUUUUCUCCUUGCUUCAGCCUUCUGCGAGUCCAAGUGCAAAGUGAGAUGCGCCAAGGCCGGCGUGAUAGACCUGUGCCUGCGCUACUGCGGGGUGUGCUUCGAGGAUUGCAAGUGUGUGCCUUCGGGGACCUACGGGAACAAGGUUGAGUGCCCUUGCUACAGGGACGAGGUCACCGAGGGCAAGAACAGGAAGCCCAAAUGCCCGUGAGCCGGAAUCACCUGCUGUUGCUGUUACCAUAUCUAUACAUUAUAUGGUGGUAAAUAAAUGUAGCACUCGGGUUUUGCCAGCGAGGAAUGUACUUGUAGGAGACUGUCUU